RNAcentral lists this ribosomal RNA (427 nucleotides) under uncultured Acidibacter sp. RNAcentral's name for it is "bacterial SSU rRNA". It matches the Rfam family "Bacterial small subunit ribosomal RNA", at positions 355 to 774 of the family's 1533-position model. Lineage: Bacteria; Pseudomonadati; Pseudomonadota; Gammaproteobacteria. The record is from RNAcentral.
UGGGGAAUAUUGGACAAUGGGGGAAACCCUGAUCCAGCGACGCCGCGUGUGUGAAGAAGGCCUGCGGGUUGUAAAGCACUUUUAGUGGGGAUGAAAUGUGCAGGGUUAAUACCUCUGCAUUUUGACCUAACCCACAGAAAAAGCACCGGCUAACUCUGUGCCAGCAGCCGCGGUAAUACAGAGGGUGCAAGCGUUAAUCGGAAUUACUGGGCGUAAAGCGUGCGUAGACGGUUACAUAAGUCGGGUGUGAAAGCCCCGGGCUCAACCUGGGAAUUGCAUUCGAGACUGCGUAGCUAGGGUACGGAAGAGGGAGGCGGAAUUUCAGGUGUAGCGGUGAAAUGCGUAGAUAUCUGAAGGAACACCAGUGGCGAAAGCGGCCUCCUGGUCCAGUACCGACGUUCAGGCACGAAAGCGUGGGGAGCAAACA